AAGUCUGUCCUUGCUGUGUCUGUGAAUUCCAUUUAACUAAGUACAGGCCAGAUGAGAUUGCUGUUUUCACGGUGGUGUAAUGCCUUGUGCCUCCUUUAUUUUAUUUUAUUUUUUUUAAACCAGGAAAAAUGCGUGUAGUGGUUCCUCACAAAGCUAUUAUAUUGCUUGGAUGGGAACUAUAUAGAAGGUGUGAAAGAGUGUCACUGGUGCAACUGGUGUAACAAUAUCAAUUACAAGAUUCACAAGACCAGCAGUGGCACGAGCCCUGUGUCACUUCACAUCCUUGGCAGAGAGAUGACUUUUAACACUCCAGGUCAAAUGAUGAACUGCCACAACAAAGGUGAAAGAGCAAAAGAAGGCUGUACGAAACGACUUGAAGAUUGAUGUUGCAUUAUUGGAACCUAGAGUAUUUCAGACGUAGCAUUGCAGUGACAUUAAAUAUUGCAGCUGUUGUUUCAUUCAACUUAUGCAUCAAUAUAUAACUGCAGUAUUUAUCUCAGAAAAUGGUACAGUAUUUUUGUUCUUCUCUCUUUCAUGAAGAUCUGGAUUGCUAAAUACUGCAUCACUAAAAAAUUUUAAAUCCCAGCAUAUAAAAUAUGUUUACCAUGCAGGAUCCUUUUAUUUAAUUUAUUACAAUGUUAAAAGCACCAGUAAUAAUGGCUAAUUAACUGACUUAUGCCUUAGAGAGCCUCGAACAUGAUACGGAAGUAAAGAUAAAUGUGCUAUAUGCCAUGUAGCUGUAACAUAUUCAAAGGAUCUCUUCAUCAGAGCCUUUUUUAAAAAGCCAGUAUUUUCAUUUUCUAAAACUUUUUAAAUUGUUGUUGUUUUGUUUUGUUUUGGUAGUGGAGACUAAUUUGAGGCACCUUUCUUAGAAUGGAACAAUGACAUUUUUAUAUAGUCCCUGAUAGUGCAAUGAUUUAUUUUCUUGAAAAGUGCCUAUACCUUGGUGUAACCUGGUGAGUCUCUGGAACUAAAGGUUUUGUUUCUUUGUUCGUUUUCCCUAUUUCUUUGUCUAUUUCAUAUAAGUGAUAAUCUCCUGAAAAAAUGGUAAAUGAGUAUAAAAUCGCAGCUUGAAACUAUGUGUAAAACAAACAAACAAAAAGCAACAACAACAACAAAAUACACAUAAUUUGUAUGGCUAACAUCAUCAAUUUUGAUUUUCCUGCCUCACAGAUGCAUAAAUCUCUUAGUAACUUCAUGGUCCUCAUCUGAAUUAGGGUACUCUGCCUGGUAUAAACAAGUUCACACCAGAUGUUGUUGCUGCUUCAUUAAAGAUGGUUUGCACACAUGGAUUUGUAGGAGAAAGACAGACCUGAGGUCACAGAUUGCGUAUUUCUUAAAUA
This 1343-nucleotide long non-coding RNA is filed under the name Anser cygnoides (Swan goose). RNAcentral's name for it is "lncRNA (ENSACDG00005009695.1)". The record is from RNAcentral. Lineage: Eukaryota; Metazoa; Chordata; Aves; Anseriformes; Anatidae.